Molecule: unclassified non-coding RNA, 488 nt
Filed under: Hevea brasiliensis (rubber tree)
Lineage: Eukaryota; Viridiplantae; Streptophyta; Magnoliopsida; Malpighiales; Euphorbiaceae
Source: RNAcentral
CGCCCCCAUGGCAUGCCAUUAUUGAGUGAACCAUUUCCUGGAGAAAGUGGCCCCCCAGAAUUAAAAUUGGGUUCUGGGGGCUGGACCUUGAUAUGAUUCCAUUCACUACCCCGAACAGCAGAUCUCCCAUGACUGAAGCGUGGAAGAGAUUGCUGUCCCAAACGACUUGGUGAAUUUUGCGAGAUAUGAGGCAUGAAGUGAGAAGGCUUUGACAUUGGACGGCCAUAUCCAGCAUGCAUAUCAUGAGNNNNNNNGCCCACUUCAGUGUGUGUAAAUGCUUGAAUAGGUCCAUUUUGUCUCUGAAUCAAUGAAUUCGAACUUUGGUUUGAUGCCCGGUAGGAUCUUCCAAAACCAACCGAUGAAUCACCUGAACCAAGACGCAUGCCUUUGCUGAACUCAAUGCCUAUGGAAUUGACAUCUGAACCAUCCUCUUGUAGAAGAAGUUCAUCACUGUAAUUGGGAUCCCAAUCCCCUGGAUCUGGCAAUGA